AUGCAGAUUGUAACGAUAAGUCAGAUGAAGAUCCAGGCUUUUGUCGAGAUUAUAGCUGCAGUGAUUACAAUCACAAGUGUUCUGAUGGAUUGCAAUGUAUCGGUGAAUACAGUUUAUGUAACGGCUACGAAGAUUGUUCAGAUAAAUCAGAUGAAGAUCCGGACGUUUGUAGAGCAAGGGAAUGUGACAACGACAAAGUGAAAUGUAAUGAUGGCAUACAAUGCAUUUAUAAAUCA
Molecule: long non-coding RNA, 236 nt
Organism: Mytilus californianus (California mussel)
Lineage: Eukaryota; Metazoa; Mollusca; Bivalvia; Mytilida; Mytilidae
Exons: 3
Source: RefSeq, a predicted model, not a curated record